UUUAUACUCCCUCCGUCCGGAAAUACUUGUCUGAGAAAUGAAUAAAAAUGGAUAUAUCUAGAACUAAAAUACGUCUAGAUACAUCCAUUUCUUCGACAAGUAUUUCUGGACGGAGGGAGUACAAA
Triticum aestivum (bread wheat) is the source of this 125-nucleotide non-coding RNA. Lineage: Eukaryota; Viridiplantae; Streptophyta; Magnoliopsida; Poales; Poaceae. The record is from Rfam.